AUUGAACGCUGGCGGCAGGCCUAACACAUGCAAGUCGAGCGGAUGAAGGGAGCUUGCUCCUGGAUUCAGCGGCGGACGGGUGAGUAAUGCCUAGGAAUCUGCCUGGUAGUGGGGGAUAACGUCCGGAAACGGGCGCUAAUACCGCAUACGUCCUGAGGGAGAAAGUGGGGGAUCUUCGGACCUCACGCUAUCAGAUGAGCCUAGGUCGGAUUAGCUAGUUGGUGGGGUAAAGGCCUACCAAGGCGACGAUCCGUAACUGGUCUGAGAGGAUGAUCAGUCACACUGGAACUGAGACACGGUCCAGACCCCUACGGGAGGCAGCAGUGGGGAAUAUUGGACAAUGGGCGAAAGCCUGAUCCAGCCAUGCCGCGUGUGUGAAGAAGGUCUUCGGAUUGUAAAGCACUUUAAGUUGGGAGGAAGGGCAGUAAGUUAAUACCUUGCUGUUUUGACGAUACCAACAGAAUAAGCACCGGCUAACUUCGUG
Molecule: ribosomal RNA, 484 nt
Filed under: uncultured bacterium
Lineage: Bacteria
Description: partial 16S ribosomal RNA
Rfam family: Bacterial small subunit ribosomal RNA
Source: RNAcentral